CUACCAUGCAGUCGACGCGAAGCCCCGCAAGGGGUGAGUAGAGUGGCGAACGGGUGAGUAACGCGUGGGUGAUCUACCUCGGAGUGGGGGAUAACGUCUCGAAAGGGACGCUAAUACCGCAUAACAUCCUGCCUUUGGACAGGCGGUGAUCAAAGCUGGGGACCGCAAGGCCUGGCGCUUGGAGAGGAGCCCGCGUCCGAUUAGCUAGUUGGUAGGGUAAUGGCCUACCAAGGCGACGAUCGGUAGCCGGCCUGAGAGGGCGGACGGCCACACUGGGACUGAGACACGGCCCAGACUCCUACGGGAGGCAGCAGUGGGGAAUUGUUCGCAAUGGGCGCAAGCCUGACGACGCAACGCCGCGUGGAGGACGAAGAUCUUCGGGUCGUAAACUCCUGUCGAGCGGGACGAAACCCUCGAGUGUGAAUAGCACUCGAGGCUGACGGUACCGCGAGAGGAAGCCCCGGCUAACUCCGUGCCAGCAGCCGCGGUAAUACGGGGGGGGCAAGCGUUGUUCGGAAUUACUGGGCGUAAAGGGCUCGUAUGUGGCCCCAUAAGUCAGACGUGAAAUCCCUCGGCUCAACCGAGGAACUGCGUCUGAGACUGCGGGGCUUGAAUCCGGGAGAGGGAUGCGGAAUUUCCAGGUG
This 644-nucleotide ribosomal RNA is filed under the name uncultured bacterium. RNAcentral's name for it is "bacterial SSU rRNA". It matches the Rfam family "Bacterial small subunit ribosomal RNA", at positions 49 to 676 of the family's 1533-position model. The record is from RNAcentral.